AUACGUAGGGUGCAAGCGUUAAUCGGAAUUACUGGGCGUAAAGCGUGCGCAGGCGGUUCGGAAAGGAGGAUGUGAAAUCCCAGGGCUCCACCUUGGAACUGCAUUCUUAACUACCGAACUAGAGGAUGUCAGAGGGGGGUAGAAUUCCGCGUGUAGCAGUGAAAUGCGUAGAUAUGCGGAGGAAUACCGAUGGCGAAGGCAGCCCCCUGGGAUAAUACUGACGCUCAUGCACGAAAGCGUGGGUAGCAAACAGGAUUAGAUACCCUGGUAGUCCACGCCCUAAACGAUGUCAACUAGCUGUUGGGCCCUUCGGGGCUUAGUAGCGUAGCUAACGCGUGAAGUUGACCGCCUGGGGAGUACGGUCGCAAGAUUAAAACUCAAAUGAAUUGACGGGG
Molecule: ribosomal RNA, 395 nt
Filed under: uncultured bacterium
Lineage: Bacteria
Description: partial 16S ribosomal RNA
Rfam family: Bacterial small subunit ribosomal RNA
Source: RNAcentral